RNAcentral lists this ribosomal RNA (463 nucleotides) under uncultured Plesiocystis sp. RNAcentral describes it as "bacterial SSU rRNA". It matches the Rfam family "Bacterial small subunit ribosomal RNA", at positions 29 to 505 of the family's 1533-position model. Lineage: Bacteria; Pseudomonadati; Myxococcota; Nannocystales; Nannocystaceae. The record is from RNAcentral.
AGCGAACGUUUGCGGCGGGCUUAACACAUGCAAGUCGAACGAGAAUCUCUGCUUCGGUGGAGAGGAAAGUGGCGCACGGGUGCGUAACACGUGGGUAACCAACCCUCUAGACUGGGACAACUCGGGGAAACUCGGGCUAAUACCGGAUGUGGCGCAGAUGUCUUCGGACGUUUGCGUGAAAGGAGCAAUCCGCUAGAGGACGGGCCCGCGGCCCAUCAGGUAGUUGGAGAGGUAAGAGCUCACCAAGCCAAAGACGGGUAGCUGUUCUGAGAGGAUGAUCAGCCACACUGGAACUGAGACACGGUCCAGACUCCUACGGGAGGCAGCAGUGGGGAAUAUUGCGCAAUGGGCGAAAGCCUGACGCAGCCACGCCGCGUGAGCGAUGAAGGUCUUAGGAUCGUAAAGCUCUGUGGAGAGAGAAGAAGCCUGACGGUAUCUCUUUAGCAAGCACCGGCUAACUCCG